This 925-nucleotide ribosomal RNA is filed under the name uncultured bacterium. Its description in RNAcentral is "bacterial SSU rRNA". It matches the Rfam family "Bacterial small subunit ribosomal RNA", at positions 8 to 916 of the family's 1533-position model. The record is from RNAcentral.
AGAGUUUGAUCCUGGCUCAGAACGAACGCUGGCGGCGUGCCUAACACAUGCAAGUCGAGCGCGAAAAGGGCAACCUGAGUAGAGCGGCGCACGGGUGAGUAACACGUGGAUAAUCUGCCUCAAAGCCUGGAAUAACCUUCCGAAAGGUUGGCUAAUGCCGGAUAAGCUCACGGGAACUUCGGUUCUUGUGGGAAAAGGUGGCCUCUGUUUACAAGCUAUCACUUUGAGAUGAGUCCGCGGCCCAUCAGGUAGUUGGCGGGGUAAUGGCCCACCAAGCCUACGACGGGUAGCUGGUCUGAGAGGACGAUCAGCCACACUGGAACUGAGACACGGUCCAGACUCCUACGGGAGGCAGCAGUGGGGAAUUUUGCACAAUGGGCGCAAGCCUGAUGCAGCAACGCCGCGUGUGUGAUGAAGGUCUUCGGAUCGUAAAGCACUUUCGACCGGGACGAAACAGCGACACCCAACACGUGUCGCCCUGACGGUACCGGGAGAAGAAGCACCGGCUAACUCUGUGCCAGCAGCCGCGGUAAUACAGAGGGUGCAAGCGUUGUUCGGAAUUAUUGGGCGUAAAGCGCGUGUAGGCGGCUUUGCAAGUCGGGUGUGAAAGCCCUCAGCUCAACUGAGGAAGUGCGCCCGAAACUGCAGAGCUUGAGUACCGGAGAGGAUGGCGGAAUUCCCCAAGUAGAGGUGAAAUUCGUAGAUAUGGGGAGGAACACCGGUGGCGAAGGCGGCCAUCUGGACGGUCACUGACGCUGAGACGCGAAAGCGUGGGUAGCAAACAGGAUUAGAUACCCUGGUAGUCCACGCUGUAAACGAUGAAUGCCAGCCGUUGGGUGACUUGUCACUCAGUGGCGCAGCUAACGCUUUAAGCAUUCCGCCUGGGGAGUACGGUCGCAAGAUUAAAACUCAAAGGGAUUGAUGG